UACGUAGGGUGCGAGCGUUGCCCGGAUUUAUUGGGCGUAAAGGGCGCGUAGGCGGCCACGCACGUCCGUUGUGAAAUCGCCCGGCUCAACUGGGCGGGGUCGGCGGAUACGGCGUGGCUGGAGCAAGCUAGGGGGCAAUGGAAUUCCCGGUGUAGUGGUGGAAUGCGUAGAUAUCGGGAGGAACACCUGAGGUGAAGACGGGUUGCUGGGCUGACACUGACGCUGAGGCGCGAAAGCUAGGGUAGCAAACGGG
Molecule: ribosomal RNA, 253 nt
Filed under: uncultured bacterium
Lineage: Bacteria
Description: partial 16S ribosomal RNA
Rfam family: Bacterial small subunit ribosomal RNA
Source: RNAcentral